Molecule: ribosomal RNA, 498 nt
Filed under: uncultured bacterium
Lineage: Bacteria
Description: partial 16S ribosomal RNA
Rfam family: Bacterial small subunit ribosomal RNA
Source: RNAcentral
AUUGAACGCUGGCGGCAUGCCUUACACAUGCAAGUCGAACGGUAACGGGCCUUCGGGUGCCGACGAGUGGCGAACGGGGGAGUAAUACAUCGGAACGUGCCCGAUCGUGGGGGAUAACGAGGCGAAAGCUUUGCUGAUACCGCAUACGAUCUACGGAUGAAAGCAGGGGACCGCAAGGCCUUGCGCGGACGGAGCGGCCGAUGGCAGAUUAGGUAGUUGGUGGGAUAAAAGCUUACCAAGCCGACGAUCUGUAGCUGGUCUGAGGGGAUGAUCAGCCACACUGGGACUGAGACACGGCCCAGACGCCUACGGGAGGCAGCAGUGGGGAAUUUUGGACAAUGGGCCCAAGCCUGAUCCAGCCAUGCCGCGUGCAGGAUGAAGGCCUUCGGGUUGUAAACUGCUUUUGUACGGAACGAAAAGCCUUCUUCUAAUACAGGAGGGUCAUGACGGUACCGUAAGAAUAAGCACCGGCUAACUACGUGCCAGCAGCCGCCGUAA